This is a long non-coding RNA of Talpa occidentalis (Iberian mole), 2967 nucleotides long. RefSeq lists it as uncharacterized. Lineage: Eukaryota; Metazoa; Chordata; Mammalia; Eulipotyphla; Talpidae. The transcript is spliced from 7 exons. The record is from RefSeq and is a predicted model, not a curated record.
CAAAGAUACUCCCUUAGAGGGCAGAAAUAAUACUUCUCAGCGAGAUAAGCUUGUGUUGGUUGGAAGCCAGGGAACUUGCUUCCUCGCUAACUCAAAGAGGAGGUACCCAGAGUGCUCUCGGAGACCGAGAGAAACGCUUUUCUGGAAGGAAGCUACGUCUAACAUUGCCCUUUAAAGACCGGAGGGACAGUCUUCCCAAUAAUACAGGCGGGUUCUGUGGUUCCGAGGCAGCUCCAGCGGGCAGGGAGGCCGAAUGACCGGUCCUGAGGGCCUCCCGCAGUCUCCUGGACUGGACCAGCAAGCUUCACAUUUGGACAGAUUGUAGGACCCAGGGGCCAGGACUUUAAAAUGGAAUCGCCAGGAGAUCCUGCUUUUUGUGCCCAUUUCUUUGGGAAGGCGACAGCCUAACUCAGCAGUUUCAGGAAUAAAACAUAAUGAUUGAAUAUUUGCAUAUGUGGCAACAUGAUCAGCAUGAAUCUUCAUACAAAGGUCUGCAGAUGGAGAGGAGCUUCUUUGAGGAGCUACCCGCUGAGGUCUAGAAUCUUAAUGGCAUGAGAGUUUUCAGGAUUUGGCAAGAGGUAUUCGCAACCACACCCGACAAUGUAGAGGAGAAUCUACUGUAAAGAGUUCAAUAACCACAUCGACUCUGUGACUCAUGUUAUACCCUCAAAAAAUGUUCCAAAAAAGAAAAACCUUAUGAUAAAAGCAAAAUGCAUUGAAGUUCCUACUUGUCUGUGCCAAACUCUAGGUUUGCCAAACUCUAACUUCAACUUUUGGAAAGUUAAUAAUUGACCACGCAUGAAGCCAAUGUGGUAAAUAUAAAGAAAAUGUUGGCUAUUAUUGAUGCAAUUUUUAUGCAUUUGCAAUCCACAAAGAUUUGGAAUGCUAGAAAGGCAUGUGGAGGUGAACUCUGUAAGAAAGCAUACUUAGGAUGCCUCGGCACCAUCCUCUCCCUUGAUUUUUCUGGGUGAGAGGCUAGGAUGCUCAUCUCAUGCACCAUCAGAAUAUUGCAACUGUUUAAUAAAGAAGAGUCAGCAAACGGCAGGCCAGUCAUGCUCAUCAGUAAUUUACUGAAAUGCAUUGCCAGCACAAAUAUCCUGGAAUCAGCCAGCGUGCCCUUCAGCAGGUAAAUGUGCAAGCAAACUAUGGUAAUCCAUGCACUGGAAUAUUAUCCAGUGAUGAAAAAUAAAGGAGCCAUCAAGUUAUGAAAGAACAAGAAGGAAUAUUGUACAAACUCUGUGAAAUGAAAGAUGUUAAUCUAACAUGGCUGCAUACGGUAUCUUUCUAACUAUAGGACGUUCUGGAAAAGACAGAACUAUCGAAAUAGUAAAAUCUCAGUGGUUGCCAGGGAAAGGAGGCAGGAAUAAUUUGACGAGGCACAGGAGACAUUUAAGACAUGAAACUAUUCUGUAUGAUACAGUAGAGUGAAAGGUAUUAUACAUUUUUCAAAGUCUAUAGAAUGUACCACACUGAGUGAACCUCAGUGCAAACUAUGAACUUCAGCUAAUGAUGCUGUAUCAGUGUAGGCUCAUCAGGGGUAACAAGUGUGCUCCCUCUUGCAGCAUGUUCGUAGUGGAGAAAGACGAGGGCGAGCAUAGGGACUCUCUACUAUUCAAUUUGUUCCAUUUUUCAGCAAAACUAAAAUUGCUUUAAAAAAUAAUGUCUUCUUUUUGAAGGUUUUGUGUCAUGGUGACUGGCCUGGAUUUCUAAGAGGAAAUCCAAGAGGAAUUAAAAGGUCAAAGCUAAAUGGAACACAGGCAAAUUCAAAGGAGACUUUGCAUGCAAAAUAUGACAGAUGAAAAAAAAAAAUGGAGCUGUUGUCAUUCUUGGAUUGUCCGAGUCUUGACCAACAUGGACCGACCCCGUGAACUGUGGAUCUCCCAGCUCACUUGUGCGCACUCCUGAACCCGGGAUUGCAGAGGCCCAGCCCAUCUUCCUAGUCCACUGUAGAGAGGGGGGAUGGUGAGCAUGACUCAGGCCAGUUUCCUGUUCGGGAAGUAUUCGAAAAACUGUGUGUUUUCGUGAAGGAAGGAAAAAAGGAAGGAGGUGCUGGACUUCAGAGCUGAGACUCUUCCCUCAUUUCCAGCUUCUGUGGGUAUGUAUGAAAUCAGCCUCUUUCUCUCCUUAGCAGGGUAAGUUGUGCUUAGCAGCCAAUUAGCUGCAAGUGGAAUCUACACGCACGCUGACAUGGAGCCAGAGCUGCACAGCAGGCGCCGCGGAGGAUCGUGGGCUCUUGCUCAGAACGUUCUGCCCAGAGUAGACGUUUGUGUGAAUGUGUGGGGGUGGGGGGUAGGUUUUUGACCCCAACACGCCUCUCAAGACGCUCCAACUCUGUUCAAAUACUGAAUGUCUCACGAUGACAUGAUCACAGGUGACGCCUCAUCAUCCCGUUGUACUCACAGCCUCCCCUCUCCAGCUUCUAGACUCUCAUUCUUCAGUUUCCAAAUCCAAAGGCACCUCCUUUGUGAAACUGUCCUCUCCUCUCCAAAGCAGACCCAGUCCCGGGCCUGUGCGGCCUCAGCGUUCCUCUGAGGCUGUGGUAAUGAGAGCCACAAGCUCCGGGUUCGCCUGAGAGAAGGCGACCGCCGUGGCCCGAAGGACAGGAUUUGCCUUCUCAUCUCGUCACCACUGAUUCCCCCCAACGCAUUAAAGCAGGAUGGCAUCUGGUGUCUGUCGCUUCUCUGUGUGACGAGACAUGUCCAGUCAUGUGAUGCAUGUCUUGGGGUGUUUUUCUGAGGGUGCUGCCAGUUCCAUCUCUAGCACCCACCUUUAUCCACAGACCCAGAGAAACUGUGACAAACUGAGUCUGGGUUCCCAAAAGCACUCACUUCCACCAGAACAGAGAGCUUCACUUACAAUUCAAGUGCAGUCACAUACACGCGAUGUUAAUUUAUUGAUCACAAUGUGAAUUUAUUGGGGUGAUCCUUGCUACAACAAUGCAAGCAAGCAACUCAGUGGGCAGUUUGU